Molecule: ribosomal RNA, 589 nt
Filed under: Harrimanella stelleriana
Lineage: Eukaryota; Viridiplantae; Streptophyta; Magnoliopsida; Ericales; Ericaceae
Description: eukaryotic LSU rRNA
Rfam family: 5.8S ribosomal RNA (bases 242-397)
Source: RNAcentral
GAGCAAGAACCUGCGAACUUGUCUAUAUACUCUCGGGGAUGUGCGGGUUGUGACCAUGUUGUCCUGCCAUGCAUUUUCCCCCUUGCGAGUGCAUGAGCAUGGGACUUUCGGGAAACGUGUUCAUUUACUUGUCAAACAACGAACCCCGGCGCAAGACGCGCCAAGGAAAAUUGAACAAGAGUGCACGUCCAUGCCCGUUUGCGGGUGGUGUCGGCGUAUGCAAUCUUUCGUAUAACUAAACGACUCUCGGCAACGGAUAUCUCGGCUCUUGCAUCGAUGAAGAACGUAGCGAAAUGCGAUACUUGGUGUGAAUUGCAGAAUCCCGUGAACCAUCGAGUCUUUGAACGCAAGUUGCGCCCGAAGCCAUUAGGUUGAAGGCACGUCUGCCUGGGCGUCACGCAUUGCGUCACCCACUCACCCCGUGCCUCGGUGGGCAUGUCGGUGCGUGGGUGGAUAUUGGCCCCCCGUUCACAUUUGUGCUCGGUCGGCCUAAAAAAAGGGUCCCCAACGACGGACAUCACGACAAGUGGUGGUUGCCAAACCGUCGCGUCAUGUCGUGCAUGCCAUUGUUUGUUGUGGGUUGGCUCAU